UACGUAGGGUGCGAGCGUUGUUCGGAAUUACUGGGCGUAAAGGGCUCGUAGGCGGCCAACUAAGUCGGACGUGAAAUCCCCAGGCUCAACCUGGGAACUGCGUCCGAUACUGGAUGGCUUGAAUCCGGGAGAGGGAUGCAGAAUUCCAGGUGUAGCGGUGAAAUGCGUAGAUAUCUGGAGGAAUACCGGUGGCGAAGGCGGCAUCCUGGACCGGCAUUGACGCUGAGGAGCGAAAGCCAGGGGAGCAAACGGG
Molecule: ribosomal RNA, 253 nt
Filed under: uncultured bacterium
Lineage: Bacteria
Description: partial 16S ribosomal RNA
Rfam family: Bacterial small subunit ribosomal RNA
Source: RNAcentral